RNAcentral lists this long non-coding RNA (268 nucleotides) under Elaeis guineensis (African oil palm). RNAcentral's name for it is "long non-coding RNA (EGUI_LNC057670)". Lineage: Eukaryota; Viridiplantae; Streptophyta; Magnoliopsida; Arecales; Arecaceae. The record is from RNAcentral.
UAUACUUGUUAGACAUGCCUUUCAUUAGCCAUUUUAUUGCUGUGACAAACUUAUAAGGAUGCACCUUAUUCAUGUUGCUUAUUCAUGUUGGUUCCUAUUCGUACAGAUAAAUCGGCCUCGUCAUCAAAUCACAUGGCAACAUCAGAGUUAUUUGAAUUGUAAGUAUACUUUCAGAUUAGAUCGGCUAAAUACUGAUCUAUAAUAACCCUCAGCUGAACUCUAUACCGAUCUGAGCUGACCGAAAUUGAUUCUAAACAAAAUAUGAUGA